CUGCAGCUAAUUAAGCUGACAGGGCUGCUUUCCUCCAGGGGGCCUGGUGUGCAAUGGCUACAAACAGCAGCUUCCUUGGUAGUGUAUGUAGCCUGUUCCUUGUAUGGGUUGCUUGAAAGAACAUGAAGACUGUC
This is a small nucleolar RNA of Otolemur garnettii (small-eared galago), 134 nucleotides long. Its record names the gene SNORA70. It matches the Rfam family "Small nucleolar RNA SNORA70". From Rfam's summary of the family: snoRNA U70 seems to be exclusive to mammals and is a member of the H/ACA class of snoRNA which contain H (ANANNA) and ACA box motifs. The record is from Ensembl. Lineage: Eukaryota; Metazoa; Chordata; Mammalia; Primates; Galagidae.